This 254-nucleotide ribosomal RNA is filed under the name uncultured bacterium. RNAcentral describes it as "partial 16S ribosomal RNA". It matches the Rfam family "Bacterial small subunit ribosomal RNA", at positions 524 to 776 of the family's 1533-position model. The record is from RNAcentral.
UACGGGGGGGGCAAGCGUUGUUCGGAAUUACUGGGCGUAAAGGGCUCGUAGGUGGCCAACUAAGUCAGACGUGAAAUCCCUCAGCUUAACUGGGGAACUGCGUCUGAUACUGGAUGGCUUGAGUUUGGGAGAGGGAUGCGGAAUUCCAGGUGGUAGCGGUGAAAUGCGUAGAUAUCUGGAGGAACACCGGUGGCGAAGGCGGCAUCCUGGACCAACACUGACACUGAUGAGCGAAAGCCAGGGGAGCAAACGGG